Molecule: small nuclear RNA, 105 nt
Organism: Ochotona curzoniae (black-lipped pika)
Lineage: Eukaryota; Metazoa; Chordata; Mammalia; Lagomorpha; Ochotonidae
Source: RefSeq, a predicted model, not a curated record
GUCUUAUUAUUGGAAGCACCAAUAUGAAAAUAGGAAUGAUACAGAGAAAUUAACAUGGACCUGCAUAAGGAUGGCAUGCAAAUUCGGGAAGCAUUCCAUAUUUUU